Molecule: ribosomal RNA, 325 nt
Filed under: uncultured eukaryote
Lineage: Eukaryota
Description: partial 18S ribosomal RNA
Rfam family: Eukaryotic small subunit ribosomal RNA
Source: RNAcentral
CCCUUAGAUGUUCUGGGCUGCACGCGCGCUACACUGAAGCGUUCAACGAGUAUUCACCUUGCCCGGGAGGGUUGGGUAAUCUUUUGAAAACGCUUCGUGAUGGGGAUAGAUUAUUGCAAUUAUUAAUCUUCAACGAGGAAUUCCUAGUAAGCGCGAGUCAUCAGCUCGUGCUGAUUACGUCCCUGCCCUUUGUACACACCGCCCGCCGCUCCUACCGAUUGAGUGAUCCGGUGAAUAAUUCGGACUGCAGCACUGCUUGGUCUCCAGGCUUUGCAGCGGAAAGUUUAGUGAACCUUAUCACUUAGAGGAAGGAGAAGUCGUAACA